GACGAACGCUGGCGGCGUGCUUAACACAUGCAAGUCGAACGGAAAGGCCCUGCUUUUGUGGGGUGCUCGAGUGGCGAACGGGUGAGUAACACGUGAGUAACCUGCCCUUGACUUUGGGAUAACUUCAGGAAACUGGGGCUAAUACCGGAUAGGAGCUCCUGCUGCAUGGUGGGGGUUGGAGAGUUUCGGCGGUUGGGGAUGGACUCGCGGCUUAUCAGCUUGUUGGUGGGGUAGUGGCUUACCAAGGCUUUGACGGGUAGCCGGCCUGAGAGGGUGACCGGCCACAUUGGGACUGAGAUACGGCCCAGACUCCUACGGGAGGCAGCAGUGGGGAAUAUUGCACAAUGGGCGGAAGCCUGAUGCAGCAACGCCGCGUGCGGGAUGACGGCCUUCGGGUUGUAAACCGCUUUCGCCUGUGACGAAACGUGAGUGACGGUAAUGGGUAAAGAAGCACCGGCUAACUACGUG
RNAcentral lists this ribosomal RNA (468 nucleotides) under uncultured bacterium. RNAcentral describes it as "partial 16S ribosomal RNA". It matches the Rfam family "Bacterial small subunit ribosomal RNA", at positions 28 to 507 of the family's 1533-position model. The record is from RNAcentral.